RNAcentral lists this long non-coding RNA (368 nucleotides) under Mytilus galloprovincialis (Mediterranean mussel). Lineage: Eukaryota; Metazoa; Mollusca; Bivalvia; Mytilida; Mytilidae. The record is from RNAcentral.
AAACUGACCAAAGAGCAGACAACAGCUGAAGCAUGUUUUACUGGAUCGAUUGGUUUUCUGGUUGACUGAUGUCCAGUGGAUAAAAUGGAAUAGACCUGGGCCAAAGACAAUAACAAUAAAAACCAAGUAGUAAACAUAGACUCACAAAACUAAAGGACAUUUACAUCAACAGUUAUAAAUAAUAAUUAAGAAACAACACGAACUCCACUAAAAACCGGGAGUGAAAUCAGGUGCUCCAGAAGGGUAAGCAUUUCCUGCACCCGUGGUGUUAUUUCUUUGUUCAGUUCAGUAAAAUUAUCAGCAUUUGUAUGCCUGUACCGUAGCGGAUUGGCGUUAUGUUUUACCGUUGUCCCCAUGUACGUCCGUCC